Molecule: long non-coding RNA, 408 nt
Filed under: Brassica napus (rape)
Lineage: Eukaryota; Viridiplantae; Streptophyta; Magnoliopsida; Brassicales; Brassicaceae
Description: long non-coding RNA (BNAP_LNC022674)
Source: RNAcentral
UUGAGUAGGACAGAAGGUUUGGAGACGCGUUUACCGCGCCCAAGUAGUUCUGGGAGACCAGGAGAUGAUGUAUCAGCAGGUGAAAUAAUGGGUAUUUGCGGAGAAGGUGAUGGAAGUGAAGGUGAUGAUGUAGGUGAUGAUGAUGAUGUAGGUGAUGAUGGGGAUGGUGUAGUGGUAGUAUCGGGAGUUUGUGUAGGUGAAGGCUGUGUGAUCGCUGCAGGAGGUAGUGAUGGCGUAGUUAUAGGUAUUGGAAGUGAGGAAACAGGAGGUAUGGGUAUAGGAGGUGGAGAUGGUGUGGUUAAAGGGAGUAGAGGUAUGGUAGAAGUAGGUGGAACCACUGUAGGUCGUGGCUCUGGUGAAGUAGUUGGGCUUGACGAUAAGUCCCAAUCAUCAAUGAUUGGAGAUGGU